AGUCGAGCGAGUCUGCCUUGAAAUCGGAGUGCUUGCACUCUGUGAAACAAGAUACAGGCUAGCGGCGGACGGGUGAGUAACACGUGGGUAACCUGCCCAAGAGAUCGGGAUAACACCUGGAAACAGAUGCUAAUACCGGAUAACAACAGAUGAUGCCUAUCAACUGUUUAAAAGAUGGUUCUGCUAUCACUCUUGGAUGGACCUGCGGUGCAUUAGCUAGUUGGUAGGGUAACGGCCUACCAAGGCGAUGAUGCAUAGCCGAGUUGAGAGACUGAUCGGCCACAUUGGGACUGAGACACGGCCCAAACUCCUACGGGAGGCAGCAGUAGGGAAUCUUCCACAAUGGACGCAAGUCUGAUGGAGCAACGCCGCGUGAGUGAAGAAGGGUUUCGGCUCGUAAAGCUCUGUUGUUGGUGAAGAAGGACAGGGGUAGUAACUGACCUUUGUUUGACGGUAAUCAAUUAGAAAGUCACGGCUAACUACGUGCCAGCAGCCGCGGUAAUACGUAGGUGGCAAGCGUUGUCCGGAUUUAUUGGGCGUAAAGCGAGUGCAGGCGGCUCGAUAAGUCUGAUGUGAAAGCCUUCGGCUCAACCGGAGAAUUGCAUCAGAAACUGUCGAGCUUGAGUACAGAAGAGGAGANNNGAACUCCAUGUGUAGCGGUGA
This 663-nucleotide ribosomal RNA is filed under the name uncultured bacterium. RNAcentral describes it as "bacterial SSU rRNA". It matches the Rfam family "Bacterial small subunit ribosomal RNA", at positions 60 to 684 of the family's 1533-position model. The record is from RNAcentral.